AAAGGCAGUUAUAACCCAGCCUCGUAUGGAGCUACUACAGUCUUCUCACAGUGAUCGGAGCCUCACCCUGCUCUUCACGUCCUUCAGUUUGGGAAGAAUCUCCAGGCCGAAGCCGUCGGCUUGACCUCUGACCCUGCUGCCUCCGUUCAUGUGGUUCCCCAGAGCCAGCACCAGUCCCACUACGUUCUUCACUUCGUCACUCUCCAGCAGAGCCUUUAACACAGAACACACACACAGGAUUUACUACAUUUAAAGACGGAGGAGAGGGUGUUGAGCUUGCGUUGGAUGGACGCGAUCCCGUCGAUGAAGGCCGACUGGAAGAUGAUGCAGUGAGCUCGUCCUGCAAAGUCUGGGAUCUGAGACAGCUCAUACAGGAACCUGGAUCACAAACACAUCAGCAAAAAGAGGGGUGGAGGCUGGAAAUGAGGAUGCCGACAGCCUGAGAGCGCUUUCCUUCCAACAGCUUAAUGAUCUGAGACACACACAGAUACACACACACGUAAAAUAACAAAGACAAACACAGUUACCAUGACCACCUCACCACUGAAAACCUUUAGUGACUCAUUAGUGGAGAGCUAUUGUGCCGAACAAACAAAAGUCUGAACACACCCCAUUAGCCCUUGGUGCCUGAGUUCAGCUCACUGUCUCUUAGCACUCUGAUGUCUUAUAUGUUGCACUAACAUCAAUGUAAUGCAGGUCAGGGAAUCCGACCAAUCAGAAUGUAGGUUGUAUGGACACAAAGAUAAAUGAACAAGACUCUGAUUUAAAGAGAUUAAAAAGUCACAAUUGAAUCAUUUGAUACAGUUAAUUUGAUCUCAGUCUGAUGCUCUAAUGCUUAUGACAGGUUUAAAAUGAACACUUGUUACCCCAUCUAGUGGACAAAAGAUAUAGUGCAACAAAUAAAAUCUCACAAGCUGAUAUACAGUAUAUCUAGUAUGAAGUGACCUCUGUGUUUACCUUCCGGGCUUUAGCUCUCUUCUCAUAAGCCUCAGACAGCGGCUUCCUCUUGGGCUGUUUGGUGGUUUUGGCAAAGAGAUCCUCAAACUCACUGGUGUUGAUGUUUGGUUCUUCCAGAACGUUCCACAGUGUGUUGUUACUGCAGAGGACAGAAACACAGAGUUAAUUUAUUCAGCCUGUGUUUUGAU
Notolabrus celidotus (New Zealand spotty) is the source of this 1145-nucleotide long non-coding RNA. RefSeq lists it as uncharacterized. The transcript is spliced from 3 exons. The record is from RefSeq and is a predicted model, not a curated record. Lineage: Eukaryota; Metazoa; Chordata; Actinopteri; Labriformes; Labridae.